UGUCUCGCGGAGCCGCUUCGGCUUGCCCUUGCGCCACCCCCCUCCCUGCCUUGCCCGCACCUCAGAGCAGCAGUAGGCAAUGAGCGCUGAGCACGAUAACUUUUCCUUUGCGCAUGUUCGAUCCGGAGAUGUCCUCUUUAUGAAUCGAAAGUGUCUUGCCAUGAAAGACCCGCUUGGCAUGAUCUUGUGUGGUCUCUCCAAGACGGAGAACCGCUUUGACCACGUCGGCAUGUUUUUGAAGAUAAGCGAGGAUGAGCUCCGCAAGUACCCCGAGGCACGCAAGCGCAUCGCGGAGUUGUCACCGUCAGGCACGUACGUGCUCGAGACGAACAUGCGUGGCAUCACACUGUACGCAGCGGAGGGGCGAGUGAGGCGCACAACUGCCAAUGAGGUGGUCUCGCGCUCCGUCAACGUGGGCGACGCCGAGAAGCAGCAAGAGGCGCAGGAGGCGUUCCUGGAGCAAAUGGAAACCAUGUACAGCACUCCGUACGAGAACGAGGUUUUUCAUCUUAUCCCCUCCAUCUGCAGUCCUCCAGACAAGAUGGACAGAGUGCUAGCCGCGCGCAAGUUCCACAUACUUCGCCUCGAGGUGGCGGCCCUCACAGAAAUGGCCAAUACGCAUCCUAGCCAGGCGGAGGUCUACCGUGCCGUCGCGCACAAGUACCGGCACGCGCAGUCGUUUCUUCUCUCCACCUACUUUCCCCACUUGGCCUCCACGUCGCCGACGGACGCACUCGCCGUGAACUGGAGCACCGGCCACUACUGGAUUGACGGGGUCAACAACGCCGACAAGAUGGUCUGCUCCGAACUCAUCUGCAAUCUGUGGCACCGUGUGGGUCUCACAGUGGGGUAUGUGCCGGCAUCCUCCAUUCGCCCCUUCGACUUGCUGGACAAUGAGCGCUUCAACUUUGUCUCGCCGGCGAGUGAGCUCGGCGAAAUCGUUCCCAUUAGGAUAAGCAAGCCCUACGCGCGGUACUGGAAGACGCCGAGCGGAAGCGGGCCGGCGACGACGAGAAGUGCCAAGGCUGCGCAGGCGGCCAUGACAGAGGGUCAGCGCCUCAAGUUCUACAACGACGUCUUCACCAGCAGUGGACGCCCGCCGGUGGGGUCGUUGAGGGCCGCCGCCGCCUCCUCGGAGCCGCUCCCGUCUCGGUGGGUGGUGCAGUCGAACACGCGCAGCGACGUCAUUCCCAACUUGUGGUUCCGCGUCUUCUCCUCUGGUGUGCUGUUUGCCGCCUGCGCGGUGCCGUGCGCCCCUUUGACGCUGCGGUGGAUGGAGGGGCAGGUGGGACUGUUCUUGCUGCGAGGGAGCGUCUGGUCCGUCACGUGCGGCGUGUUUGCCCGGAACGUCUCGUUUGCCGCUGUGCAAGCCCUUGUCCUCGCGGCGGCAACGCGCCGCUGCAAGGUGUCUGGGGACGAGCUGGUCAUGGGCUCGCACACGCGCAGCAACCUCGUCGACACACGGCAUCCGUACUAUUGCACGGUCGCCCUCUACGGCCUCUCCGCCCUUGUGGCGCAUCUUGCAACAACACCGUUGCGCAACGCCAACAUCUCCUACCACUUCGGCCCCGUGCUCCCCGGGCCCAUCUCGAUGCGGCGACUGUGCAAGGGGAACAUUUUGCUCUCACCUACCGCCGUCUUGUUGCCCUUCCAAGCCUGCUGGCUCUCCUGGUACGAGACGGCUGGGUCCUUCAUCGUGCCAACACUAUCGUCCGUGUGGCGUCCUCGAGAGGACCUGCUCGCACGCCCGGAGUGGCCGCACUACCGGAGCGAUGCCCUUAUCGGCGCCUUUGUCGCUACGCUUCUCACGGAUGCAUUGUUCUACCCGAUUGCCGCCGUGGCAACACGCCGAUUCAUGAGCGACCUAUAUAAGCCGCAAAGGCCGCCGAGCUUUGGACGAUCCCUCUACGCAGGCUACCGGUAUCGUCUUCUCAGCAACCUUGUCAUCCUCUCCUCAUCCACCGCGUACCUGUACGGACUUGGAAGCAUCUAGCACAUCCUUGCGCACGGGGUAGAAAAGUCCUGCGUGCCGGCUUACUGUUUCCUCCAGCUGUAUCUUCGUGGCCGCAUCAUCGUCACAUGGAGAAGGUAGCGCCUUCGCCAGUAAACGAAGACUCGCUCACAUUAUCGCAUGACGCCGACAUACAC
RNAcentral lists this unclassified non-coding RNA (2148 nucleotides) under Leishmania donovani. Its description in RNAcentral is "gene:LdHU3.35.6860(CDS-product:hypothetical_prote in_conserved)". Lineage: Eukaryota; Euglenozoa; Kinetoplastea; Trypanosomatida; Trypanosomatidae. The record is from RNAcentral.